Molecule: ribosomal RNA, 131 nt
Filed under: Melanoleuca communis
Lineage: Eukaryota; Fungi; Basidiomycota; Agaricomycetes; Agaricales; Pluteaceae
Description: partial 25S ribosomal RNA
Rfam family: Eukaryotic large subunit ribosomal RNA
Source: RNAcentral
UUGACCUCAAAUCAGGUAGGACUACCCGCUGAACUUAAGCAUAUCAAUAAGCGGAGGAAAAGAAACUAACAAGGAUUCCCCUAGUAACUGCGAGUGAAGCGGGAAAAGCUCAAAUUUAAAAUCUGGCAGUC